This 447-nucleotide ribosomal RNA is filed under the name uncultured bacterium. RNAcentral's name for it is "bacterial SSU rRNA". It matches the Rfam family "Bacterial small subunit ribosomal RNA", at positions 330 to 793 of the family's 1533-position model. The record is from RNAcentral.
CCCAGACUCCUACGGGAGGCAGCAGUGGGGGAUAUUGCACAAUGGGGGGAACCCUGAUGCAGCGACGCCGCGUGGGUGAAGGAGCGUUUCGGCGCGUAAAGCCCUCUCGGCAGGGAAGAAGGAGGACGGUACCUGACUAAGAAGCCCCGGCUAACUACGUGCCAGCAGCCGCGGUAAUACGUAGGGGGCAAGCGUUAUCCGGAUUUACUGGGUGUAAAGGGGGCGCAGACGGCAGCGCAAGCCAGGAGUGAAAGCCCGGGGCUCAACCCCGGGACUGCAUUUGGAACUGUGUGGCUGGAGUGUCGGAGAGGCAGGCGGAAUUCCUAGUGUAGCGGUGAAAUGCGUAGAUAUUAGGAGGAACACCAGUGGCGAAGGCGGCCUGCUGGACGAUGACUGACGUUGAGGCUCGAAAGCGUGGGGAGCAAACAGGAUUAGAUACCCGGGUAA